GACGAACGCUGGCGGCGUGCUUAACACAUGCAAGUCGAACGGAAAGGCCCUGCUUUUGUGGGGUGCUCGAGUGGCGAACGGGUGAGUAACACGUGAGUAACCUGCCCUUGACUUUGGGAUAACUUCAGGAAACUGGGGCUAAUACCGGAUAGGAGCUCCUGCUGCAUGGUGGGGGUUGGAAAGUUUCGGCGGUUGGGGAUGGACUCGCGGCUUAUCAGCUUGUUGGUGGGGUAGUGGCUUACCAAGGCUUUGACGGGUAGCCGGCCUGAGAGGGUGACCGGCCACUUUGGCAUGAAGUUUAGGCCCAAGACCCCCGGGGGGGAAGGAGUGGGGAUUUUUCCACAUUGGGGGGAGGCCUGAAGGAGCAGGCCCGCGGGCGGGAAGAAGCCCUUCGGGUUGUAAACCGUUUCGCCCUGGAACGAGGGGUGAGUGGAGGAAAUGGGUAAGAAAGCCCGGGCUAAUUAGGU
Molecule: ribosomal RNA, 467 nt
Filed under: uncultured bacterium
Lineage: Bacteria
Description: partial 16S ribosomal RNA
Rfam family: Bacterial small subunit ribosomal RNA
Source: RNAcentral